CGCUGGGUUAGGUACGGGUUGGGUAGUUUUGGGUAGUUUUAACCCAUAAUGUUAACCCAGCCAGUAACCCAUUUCAUUGGGUUACGAGACUGCUCUGAUGUCCGUGAAAGAUCGUUUCAAAUUUCAACUGACAAUAUGGGCCACGCUGCAGAAAAUGUUCAAGAAGUCGGUGAAAUUAAAGCCCUAUGUAAGUUGAGAAGAUAGCCAGGGACCCUGUUGCUGGGUGGAGCUGUCUUGUUACUGUACGUGACCCCCAUGUCUGAAAAUAAGUGGAACUAGUCGGUUUCUGAAGCAAAGAAGAUGGCCAGGACUCCUUGUUGAUAGAUGGGAGCCAGAUAGAGUUGGUAGAGCCGAGAAGAUGGCCAGGAUUGCUGCUGGACGGAAGCUGGACCCGGGGAACAUAGUUGAGAAGAUAGCCAGGGACCCUGUUGCUGGGUGGAGCUGUCUUGUUACUGUACGCGACCCCCAUGUCUGAAAAUAAGUGGAACUAGUCAGUUUCUGAAGCAAAGAAGAUGGCCAGGACUCCUUGUUGAUAGAUGGGAGCCAGAUAGAGUUGGUAGAGCCGAGAAGAUGGCCAGGAUUGCUGCUGGACGGAAGCUGUCUAGUUACAUUGAUUCCCCUUGUAGGACCGUGUCGGAAAAUGCUGAGAAAGACCAACGGUUUUUAAAAAGAAGAUGGCCAGGAUUCCUUACUGCUGGAUGGAAGCGGUCUAGUUGCAGUACAUUAAGCCCCCUUGUAGGACCAUGUUGGAAAAUGCUGAGAAAGACCAACAGAUUCUAAAGCUGAGAAGAUGGCCAGGGACUCUUUGCUGCUGGAUGGAAGCUGUCUAGAGCUGCUAGAGUGUCACUCUGGUUGCCACCUUCUCCCAUGAGGACACGUUGACUGAGGGAGAUAUUGAGCCCUGCCCUGACUCUGCACACAACCAAGGAGAGUGCCAGUAGCGCGCGCGCGCGCACACACACACACACACACACACACAAACACACACACCUUUUAUGGAUGACACUGUUUUUAUAUUCAUUAACAUGUCAGUUAGAGGCUGCCUGAGUUUGUAAGAAUGUCAGUGUUGUAUUUUCAGGUUAUUGUCAUUUUAAGUUAGCUUCAGCCUUGUCAGACCAUCAGAUUCGCCCUGCUCUCAAACCAAAAUUUAGAAGAUUCAGGCAGGAUCACUUAAUUUUAAGUUAGAAGUCAUGUGUGUUUCCUAUACAGUCUGUGUUUUUUUUUUGCCUUUAAUACCUACUGGGAUAUUGAUGUGUAUUUUAAUUGCAUAUCAAAUAAACUGACUUUCGAUUUGAAAUAAGCUGUAUCUGUGUGGUAUGUGUCUGCAUGAGGUAGUUAUUAAUUGAUAUUGCAUAAUGAGAUUGAAUAAGCAUAAGUGACAAUAACUUGGGUA
Engraulis encrasicolus (European anchovy) is the source of this 1393-nucleotide long non-coding RNA. RefSeq lists it as uncharacterized. The transcript is spliced from 10 exons. NCBI's taxonomy places the organism in Eukaryota, Metazoa, Chordata, Actinopteri, Clupeiformes, Engraulidae. The record is from RefSeq and is a predicted model, not a curated record.